GACUUCUCAACCACGACUCGUCAUCGAGUUUGUGGCUUGGAUGGUGGGGGAUUUUUUUGUUUGCAGGCUUUUCGCAGGAAAGGUCGGCUCCCCUGAAACAUAUCAGCGGUGAUCUUGAGGCUUAUUGCUAUAGGUGUGAUAAAUUAUCUAUGCCCUUGCGUUGUGCCACAUGAACUGCUUCCAACUCUCUUUUGAACUGUUGACGA
RNAcentral lists this unclassified non-coding RNA (206 nucleotides) under uncultured Inocybe. Its description in RNAcentral is "partial internal transcribed spacer 2". Lineage: Eukaryota; Fungi; Basidiomycota; Agaricomycetes; Agaricales; Cortinariaceae. The record is from RNAcentral.